This 800-nucleotide long non-coding RNA is filed under the name Homo sapiens (human). Its description in RNAcentral is "HSALNT0230903". Lineage: Eukaryota; Metazoa; Chordata; Mammalia; Primates; Hominidae. The record is from RNAcentral.
CUACCAGAAAGCAGCCCACCCCCACCCCCAUUAAAAAAAAAAAUAAGCGAGUGGGGAAGAGCCAGCCCCACGCCGGUCCGCCUCCCGCCCACGGCUCGGCCUCCCUCCCGCCUGGCUCGGCGCUCCUCCGCCCCGAGUUCUCCAUCCCCUGGAUCCCGGGCUCGCGGGGGCGCGGAGAAGAGGAUCCAGGAAAGGUGGAGGGAACCCCAUGAGAAGGAAUAUGAGCAGCCUGGAGAGGCCGAGACCAACCCCAACCCCCAGCUGACAGUGACAAAAUGUGGAUGUCAGACCUGAAGCCACAAGGAACAGGAUUCUGUCAACAACUGUAAAAAAUUGGAAGCAGAAUAUUUCCCAAAUCCCCCAGAUAAGAACCCAGUUGGCUGACACUUUGAUGUUGGCCUUGUGAGACUCUGAGCAGAGUCCAGGUGAGACUGCCUGGACUUCUGACCUAUAGAAUCGUGGGAUAUUAAAUGGAUGUUGUUUUAAGCUGCUAAAUUUGUGGUAAUUCAUUUCGCAACAACAGAAAACUACUACAUACUGAUUCAGAGAAAUCAAAACAGAAGUGGUACACUCUUCUCUACCCUUUUACAUUCACAAGGUGUUUCCAAUGUAACACUCAUAUAUGGUGAGGGCAGUUGUCUCUCUUUUUACAGGUGAUGAUAUAGACUCAGAGAGAUUAAGUUACUUGCCCAGGACACUCAUCCAGGAAAUGGGGGAAGAGGACUUGAAUGGGCUUUUUUGUGUGUGAGUUAGGAUGGGGUGGGGGCGUGUUUCCUUUACUGUCUUUUGCAUUCAAAUAG